ACGAACGCUGGCGGCGUGCCUAAUACAUGCAAGUAGAACGCUGAAGGAGGAGCUUGCUUCUCUGGAUGAGUUGCGAACGGGUGAGUAACGCGUAGGUAACCUGCCUGGUAGCGGGGGAUAACUAUUGGAAACGAUAGCUAAUACCGCAUAAUAGUAGAUGUUGCAUGACAUUUGCUUAAAAGGUGCAAUUGCAUCACUACCAGAUGGACCUGCGUUGUAUUAGCUAGUUGGUGGGGUAACGGCUCACCAAGGCGACGAUACAUAGCCGACCUGAGAGGGUGAUCGGCCACACUGGGACUGAGACACGGCCCAGACUCCUACGGGAGGCAGCAGUAGGGAAUCUUCGGCAAUGGACGGAAGUCUGACCGAGCAACGCCGCGUGAGUGAAGAAGGUUUUCGGAUCGUAAGGCUCUGUUGUAAGAGAAGAACGAGUGUGAGAGUGGAAAGUUCACACUGUGACGGUAUCUUACCAGAAAGGGACGGCUAACUACGUG
This 494-nucleotide ribosomal RNA is filed under the name uncultured bacterium. Its description in RNAcentral is "partial 16S ribosomal RNA". It matches the Rfam family "Bacterial small subunit ribosomal RNA", at positions 29 to 507 of the family's 1533-position model. The record is from RNAcentral.